Mucidula mucida is the source of this 81-nucleotide non-coding RNA. Lineage: Eukaryota; Fungi; Basidiomycota; Agaricomycetes; Agaricales; Physalacriaceae. The record is from the annotation of a GenBank genome assembly.
GGCCUGAUGGUCUAGUAGUAUGAUUCCUUGUUAGGGCUUGCCACAUCGAGGAGGUCCCGGGUUCAAUUCCCGGUCAGGCCC